Molecule: long non-coding RNA, 1179 nt
Organism: Oncorhynchus mykiss (rainbow trout)
Lineage: Eukaryota; Metazoa; Chordata; Actinopteri; Salmoniformes; Salmonidae
Source: RefSeq, a predicted model, not a curated record
CCUUGAUUACUUGCCCUAUUUGUCACUCCCUUUGACGUGUUUCUUAUUUUGUAUUAUGUUGUGUUUCUUUAUUAACACUUCCUCCCUGAACUUGCUCCCCGACGUUCAGAUCACAUCGUUACAGCCCAGCAGUGUGAGAAUGGUGUGGUGUAUGAGGUCUGUGUUCUCCCAUCUGUCCCAGUGCAACCCAGAGCUCUGACUCCCAAUGUGCCACCCACUCCUGUAUGGAGAGCUGCUUCUGCACUGCAGGCAGAAUGAUGACCGCUCUCCAGGCCUGUUGUGAAUGACGGCAGGUAAGCUAACAAUGGCAGUGUCUCAAUUCAGAGCUAUUCCCUGCCCUCUGCCUUCAUUCACAACGGGCCUGGAGAGCUGCCAUCAUUCACACUGGGCCUGGAGAGCUGCCAUCAUUCACACUGGGCCUGGAGAGCUGCCAUCAUUCACACUGGGCCUGGAGAGCUGCCAUCAUUCACACUGGGCCUGGCGAGCUGCCAUCAUUCACACUGGGCCUGGAGAGCUGCCAUCAUUCACACUGGGCCUGGAGAGCUGCCAUCAUUCACACUGGGCCUGGAGAGCUGCCAUCAUUCACACUGGGCCUGGAGAGCUGCCAUCAUUCACACUGGGCCUGGAGAGCGACUGGUUUAUGCAGGAUUUUGUUCCACCUCAGCAGUAAGACACCUGGUUCAACAGAUCAUGGACUUCCAUUAGGGCCAAGGUGAAGGCUGUGUGGUGCCCUCUCUCUGUCCCUGUGAGUGGGAGGACUCUGUUCCCCCCCUACAGGUGAAGGCUGUGUGGUGCCCUCUCUCUGUCCCUGUGAGUGGGAGGACUCUUUCCCCCCCCUACAGGUGAAGGCUGUGUGGUGCCCUCUCAUUUUAUUAAUUGUGUGAAUAGGCUUUGUACUAGGUUCUAUGGCUAGGUGAAUGAAUAGCAGGAAUAUUAACUUCGAUGGUUCUGGUUAGGAUUUGUCACUGUGUACCUGUAGGCGCUGUGUGUACCCGUAGGCGCUGUGUGUACCCGUAGGCGCUGUGUGUACCCGUAGGCGCUGUGUGUACCCGUAGGCACUGCAGUGUACCCGUAGGCACUGCAGUGUACUCGUAGGCGCUGUGUGUACCCGUAGGCACUGCAGUGUACUCGUAGGCGCUGUGUGUACCCGUAGGCGCUGUGUGUACCCGUAGGCACUGC